AGUAUUAAGAGAGUGCGAGCUUUGCCUGCCAUCUCUUACCCAUGUCUUUUGAGUACCUUCGUUUCCUCGGCGGGUUCGCCCGCCGAUUGGACAAAACUUAAACCCUUUGUAAUUGAAAUCAGCGUCUGAAAAAAACAUAAUAGUUACAACUUUCAACAACGGAUCUCUUGGUUCUGGCAUCGAUGAAGAACGCAGCGAAAUGCGAUAAGUAGUGUGAAUUGCAGAAUUCAGUGAAUCAUCGAAUCUUUGAACGCACAUUGCGCCCCUUGGUAUUCCAUGGGGCAUGCCUGUUCGAGCGUCAUUUGUACCUUCAAGCUCUGCUUGGUGUUGGGUGUUUGUCUCGCCUCUGCGCGCAGACUCGCCUCAAAACGAUUGGCAGCCGGCGUAUUGAUUUCGGAGCGCAGUACAUCUCGCGCUUUGCACUCACAACGACGACGUCCAAAAAGUACAUUUUUACACUCUUGACCUCGGAUCAGGUAGGGAUACCCGCUGAACUUAAGCAUAUCAAAA
RNAcentral lists this ribosomal RNA (510 nucleotides) under Stagonosporopsis cucurbitacearum. RNAcentral describes it as "eukaryotic LSU rRNA". The stretch from base 148 to 301 matches the Rfam family "5.8S ribosomal RNA". The record is from RNAcentral. Lineage: Eukaryota; Fungi; Ascomycota; Dothideomycetes; Pleosporales; Didymellaceae.